UCGCUUUGGCAGCGCAUGUGCCAAAAUUAGAACAUAGAGAUUAGUACGACCCCUGCUCAAGAAUGACAAGCAAAUUUGUGAGGCAUUUGGUAUUUUU
Small nuclear RNA from Rattus norvegicus (Norway rat), 97 nucleotides. Lineage: Eukaryota; Metazoa; Chordata; Mammalia; Rodentia; Muridae. The record is from Ensembl.